Molecule: long non-coding RNA, 329 nt
Organism: Achroia grisella
Lineage: Eukaryota; Metazoa; Arthropoda; Insecta; Lepidoptera; Pyralidae
Exons: 7
Source: RefSeq, a predicted model, not a curated record
AACUACUCAGUCUUAACGAUUUCUUGCGUGAGUUUUCAUUAGCACAACCAUGACUAAGUUAAUGCUUGUUUUCGCUCUAGUGGCUCUGUUCACAAUAACAGCUGCCAGCCCACGAGUUAACGUAGCGGAGAGUAUCACUCCAGGCCCAGUAAAUGUGGUCGGUGGACCUGACCCAGUUCAAGUGGUUGAUGGAGAGAAUCAAGUAAAUGUUGCUGACGGUCCUCAAGGGGCACAAACGAGAGACGGAGAGUAGAAAAAAUCUAAAUAUUACCCACAUUUGUGUAUGGUUAUAUCAUAAAUUAAUAUGUAAAAUAUGUUUUUGUCUAAUA